Molecule: ribosomal RNA, 519 nt
Filed under: uncultured Pseudomonadota bacterium
Lineage: Bacteria; Pseudomonadati; Pseudomonadota
Description: bacterial SSU rRNA
Rfam family: Bacterial small subunit ribosomal RNA
Source: RNAcentral
GAGUUUGAUCAUGGCUCAGAUUGAACGCUGGCGGCAUGCUUUACACAUGCAAGUCGAACGGCAGCGGGGGCUUCGGCCCGCCGGCGAGUGGCGAACGGGUGAGUAAUGCAUCGGAACGUACCCAGUCGUGGGGGAUAACGCAGCGAAAGCUGUGCUAAUACCGCAUACGUCCUGAGGGAGAAAGCGGGGGACCUUCGGGCCUCGCGCGAUUGGAGCGGCCGAUGUCGGAUUAGCUAGUUGGUGGGGUAAAGGCUCACCAAGGCGACGAUCCGUAGCUGGUCUGAGAGGAUGAUCAGCCACACUGGGACUGAGACACGGCCCAGACUCCUACGGGAGGCAGCAGUGGGGAAUUUUGGACAAUGGGGGCAACCCUGAUCCAGCCAUGCCGCGUGAGUGAAGAAGGCCUUCGGGUUGUAAAGCUCUUUCAGUCGGGAAGAAACGGAGCGCUCUAACAUAGCGCUCUACUGACGGUACCGACAGAAGAAGCACCGGCUAACUACGUGCCAGCAGCCGCGGUAA